Molecule: unclassified non-coding RNA, 305 nt
Filed under: plant metagenome
Description: partial contains 5.8S ribosomal RNA, internal transcribed spacer 2, and large subunit ribosomal RNA
Rfam family: 5.8S ribosomal RNA (bases 1-105)
Source: RNAcentral
GAAAUGCGUUAAGUAAUGUGAAUUGCAGAAUUCAGUGAAUCAUCGAAUCUUUGAACGCACAUUGCGCCCGCCAGUAUUCUGGCGGGCAUGCCUGUUCGAGCGUCAUUUCAACCAUCAAGCCCCCGGCUUGUGUUGGGGACCUGCGGCUGCCCGCAGGCCCUGAAAAACAGUGGCGGGCUCGCUGUCACACCGAGCGUAGUAGCAUACAUUCUCGCUCAGGGCGUGCUGCGGGUUCCGGCCGUUAAACGACCUUCAUAACCCAAGGUUGACCUCGGAUCAGGUAGGAAGACCCGCUGAACUUAAGC